RNAcentral lists this transfer RNA (70 nucleotides) under Marmota monax (woodchuck). RNAcentral describes it as "tRNA.Ala". Lineage: Eukaryota; Metazoa; Chordata; Mammalia; Rodentia; Sciuridae. The record is from RNAcentral.
GUUCUGAGGCUCAGUGGUAGAAUUCUUGCCUAGCAUGCAUGAGGCACUGGGUUCAAUCCCCAGCACCACA